RNAcentral lists this ribosomal RNA (798 nucleotides) under uncultured Glomeromycotina. RNAcentral describes it as "SSU rRNA". It matches the Rfam family "Eukaryotic small subunit ribosomal RNA", at positions 314 to 1114 of the family's 1831-position model. Lineage: Eukaryota; Fungi; Glomeromycota. The record is from RNAcentral.
AUCAACUUUCGAUGGUAGGAUAGAGGCCUACCAUGGUGGCAACGGGUAACGGGGUGUUAGGGCACGACACCGGAGAGGGAGCCUGAGAAACGGCUACCACAUCCAAGGAUGGCAGCAGGCGCGCAAAUUACCCAAUCCCGACACGGGGAGGUAGUGACAAUAAAUAACAAUACGGGGUCCUUUGGGUCUCGUGAUUGGAAUGAGUACAAUUUAAAUCUCUUAACGAGGAACAAUUGGAGGGCAAGUCUGGUGCCAGCAGCCGCGGUAAUUCCAGCUCCAAUAGCGUAUAUUAAAGUUGUUGCAGUUAAAAAGCUCGUAGUUGAAUUUCGGGAUUAGUAGGUUGGUCGUGCCUCUGGUAUGUACUCGCCUUACUGGUUCCUCCUUCUUGAAGAACUGUAAUGCCAUUAAUUUGGUGUUGCAGGGAAACAGGACUGUUACUUUGAGAAAAUUAGAGUGUUUAAAGCAGGCCAUUGCCUGAAUACAUUAGCAUGGAAUAAUGAAAUAGGACGUUGAUCCUAUUUUGUUGGUUUCUAGGAUUGACGUAAUGAUUAAUAGGGAUAGUUGGGGGGCAUUAGUAUUCAAUUGUCAGAGGUGAAAUUCUUGGAUUUAUUGAAGACUAACUACUGCGAAAGCAUUUGCCAAGGAUGUUUUCAUUAAUCAAGAACGAAAGUUAGGGGAUCGAAGACGAUCAGAUACCGUCGUAGUCUUAACCAUAAACUAUGCCGACUAGGGAUCGGAUGAUGUUAAUUUUUUAAUGACUCAUUCGGCGCCUUACGGGAAACCAAAGUGUUUGGGUUC